This 547-nucleotide ribosomal RNA is filed under the name Bifidobacterium breve. Its description in RNAcentral is "bacterial SSU rRNA". It matches the Rfam family "Bacterial small subunit ribosomal RNA", at positions 155 to 711 of the family's 1533-position model. Lineage: Bacteria; Bacillati; Actinomycetota; Actinomycetes; Bifidobacteriales; Bifidobacteriaceae. The record is from RNAcentral.
AAAGGGUGGUAAUGCCGGAUGCUCCAUCACACUGCAUGGUGUGUUGGGAAAGCCUUUGCGGCAUGGGAUGGGGUCGCGUCCUAUCAGCUUGAUGGCGGGGUAACGGCCCACCAUGGCUUCGACGGGUAGCCGGCCUGAGAGGGCGACCGGCCACAUUGGGACUGAGAUACGGCCCAGACUCCUACGGGAGGCAGCAGUGGGGAAUAUUGCACAAUGGGCGCAAGCCUGAUGCAGCGACGCCGCGUGAGGGAUGGAGGCCUUCGGGUUGUAAACCUCUUUUGUUAGGGAGCAAGGCAUUUUGUGUUGAGUGUACCUUUCGAAUAAGCACCGGCUAACUACGUGCCAGCAGCCGCGGUAAUACGUAGGGUGCAAGCGUUAUCCGGAAUUAUUGGGCGUAAAGGGCUCGUAGGCGGUUCGUCGCGUCCGGUGUGAAAGUCCAUCGCUUAACGGUGGAUCCGCGCCGGGUACGGGCGGGCUUGAGUGCGGUAGGGGAGACUGGAAUUCCCGGUGUAACGGUGGAAUGUGUAGAUAUCGAAAAAGAACACCA